AGUAAAUGAAAUACCACAUUGUGGAUCUAAAUGAACAUGAGCAUAAAUGGCCGCACAAUUCGUAGUUGCUACUCCGUGAUUGACCAGAGCAAUCGAAAUUUUACAAAAUGUCAUACCAGUUUUCUUUAAUGCUAGAUUUACUAUCAAGCGCACUAGUGGAAUUGAGUCCCGUGGUCAUCAGUGGGGACUUCAACGCCUGGGCGCUUGAGUAGGGCAGGACCGCGUUUGCGCUGUACACGACGAUCGAGGUUAUUUGGUAGUGUUGUACUUUUUACAACAGCGCGCGUGCUGAAGGGUUAACUAACCCGACAAGCUGAGCUCUACUCAAAACUAUGGCUGAACUAAACGUCGAUGUCGCGAACGUAGGCGAUAAAAAACCCUACAGUACGAACGGUGCAGAGUCUAAGGACUGUUCAAUUUAUAAAACGGACAACUUUCUUGUGCGAUAUCUUUUUUAUUUUUCAAUAAAAUCAUUAUCAGUUUUUUGCAUAACUUUCUAUAGCUAUCCUCAAUUGUAGGAAAAAUAUAACAUUAAGCAAAAUGCUCUUUAUUGUGUAACUGAAGCGGUUUUCGUAAAACAUCAAUAAAAACCCAUUUCUCAAAAUUCGACAUAAUUUUCCACAUAAUUAACAUGCACAUUUUCAUGAAGUUUUUAAUGUAUUAGAAUCUUAUAUUAUUCUACUAGAGGUAAAGCUCAAUAGUUGGUCAGUAAUAAUGCACCAAGCAGCCUCCAGCUUGAUAUAGUGAGUUGACUUGUUUUCAUAGAAAUUAUUAAAAAAUAUUUAUUUUAGUCCUGCAUUGCAUUAACACAACGGAUUCGGCUGAAAAUUUGUCCAGAGUAGUGAAAUAUUGCUUUCUUAGUGACACAAGAAAAACUCACUCUAAAUUGCAUUUUUUAUCAAAAAAAUAAUCCAUAAAGAUGGUCAUAAUAAAAAAUGGCAUACUUUUUGCUCCAUUGAUUCAGAUUUUCGACUCUAGUGAAUCUUGUAAUUAUUUAUUUUUAACAAAGUUGGUCCUAUGUUACUGUACACCUUAUUUAAUAAUAAUGGAAUGCUAAGUUUUUAUUUCCAUCAUCAUUGUUAUGCAAAAUUUGCAUUAGGUUGCAUUGUUAUUUGAAAGAACCUUCAAAGAACGAAGCUGUUUGGAUUACUGUGCCUGUAAUGGCGCACAGUAACCAAACCAGCAAUGCUAUUAAGAAGAAGUUUUCUGUAUUUCAAACCACAUUAUUCCUACUUUCGACUUGAUGCAUAAAACAGUUAUUUAUUUAAUAUUUUCAUGAACUUUUUGAUUUACAAUUGAAUUUUAUUCAAAAAAUCGAAUCUCACUUGAGACUUUAAUAUCUCAACAAUUAAUUUUCCAAUUAAGUUGAAAUUUCGCCAGAAUGUUUAUUACUCAUGCUGCUGCAGCAGGGAACAUACUUUUCUGAUAUUAAAAACGAUAUACCUUAUGUGAACAGUAGUUUUAUAUAUAUUUUCAAUUUUCAGCAAUCGAAAAAUUCAUCUCAUUUAACACCUGGCCGAUUUGCUAUAAAUUAAAACUAAUUUUAUUCGAUACAAAAAUUAUAACUAUAAUGAAAGAUGAUGCACUGAACAACGAAGCAAGGCUGGUGAAAUUUGAACUAUGCGUCUUCUUUUUAUAGCCUUGUAAAGUUGUGAACAGUCCUUAUCAUUGAUGUGACCUUUUGGAGCCCGGAUCUACACCCAAGCUCAGACUGGAGGGUCAACGAUGGGCACACGCACAGUGACCAUCUGGCGAUUCGAUACAAGAUGGAACACGGAAGAAGACUGCCAUUGCCGAAGGUCAUCGACAGUCAUCGGGCAUGGCUGAACUCGCGCUUCGAUAAGCCGAAAUUUGUGGAGCAAUUGCUUAAAGACCGGUCCAGAAAGUAUGGACGCAAUUAGAAAUUAGGGUAAAUGUACCAAUAGUGGUGCUACUAGUAGCUCGUUGUAGAAAAAUAAUUGAAUUAAAUUGAUAAUACCACAAAAUAAAAAGUCUGAAAACGUUAAUCGGUAGUUUUUCACUUAAAUUUGCUAGGAAAAAUGUAUAAAACAUUGUUUAUUUAAGUUUUUGCUAAUAAAUCACUUGCACCAACUAUAGGUACACGGUUCCUAUUAUGGAGGUAAAAUUUAACAUUGGUUCCUAUAGUGGCGCAUCCCAUUGGAUUCUUAUGGGAUCACCACUAUAGGAACACUACCACCACUAUAGGUGCAAAGGAGCAAAAAAUUUAAGGAAAAUAAUUGUUUAAAAUAGGUUUUUCGGCAAAUCCUGAACACAAAACUGAAUAAAUGUUAUUAAUUAGUUAUGAUGCAUCUAUUAAAAAUGUCAUUUGCAAGCUUUUUGUUCGAAAUAGUGCUAAAUUGGCAUUACCACCACUAUUGGUACUACCUCCACUAAGGGAGCUUUUACCCUACUGGCAUUUCAACACUAUUGAUGACUAGUUCUUUUUGAAAGCUACAUCCUGUUCGUCAACCUAUUUUCUCAACAUUUGUAUAGCAGUUUUUGCGAUUCCAACA
Aedes albopictus (Asian tiger mosquito) is the source of this 2513-nucleotide long non-coding RNA. RefSeq lists it as uncharacterized. NCBI's taxonomy places the organism in Eukaryota, Metazoa, Arthropoda, Insecta, Diptera, Culicidae. The transcript has 2 exons. The record is from RefSeq and is a predicted model, not a curated record.